Molecule: ribosomal RNA, 583 nt
Filed under: Bacillus thuringiensis
Lineage: Bacteria; Bacillati; Bacillota; Bacilli; Caryophanales; Bacillaceae
Description: bacterial SSU rRNA
Rfam family: Bacterial small subunit ribosomal RNA
Source: RNAcentral
GCGGCGGACGGGUGAGUAACACGUGGGUAACCUGCCCAUAAGACUGGGAUAACUCCGGGAAACCGGGGCUAAUACCGGAUAACAUUUUGAACUGCAUGGUUCGAAAUUGAAAGGCGGCUUCGGCUGUCACUUAUGGAUGGACCCGCGUCGCAUUAGCUAGUUGGUGAGGUAACGGCUCACCAAGGCAACGAUGCGUAGCCGACCUGAGAGGGUGAUCGGCCACACUGGGACUGAGACACGGCCCAGACUCCUACGGGAGGCAGCAGUAGGGAAUCUUCCGCAAUGGACGAAAGUCUGACGGAGCAACGCCGCGUGAGUGAUGAAGGCUUUCGGGUCGUAAAACUCUGUUGUUAGGGAAGAACAAGUGCUAGUUGAAUAAGCUGGCACCUUGACGGUACCUAACCAGAAAGCCACGGCUAACUACGUGCCAGCAGCCGCGGUAAUACGUAGGUGGCAAGCGUUAUCCGGAAUUAUUGGGCGUAAAGCGCGCGCAGGUGGUUUCUUAAGUCUGAUGUGAAAGCCCACGGCUCAACCGUGGAGGGUCAUUGGAAACUGGGAGACUUGAGUGCAGAGAGGAAAGUGG